UACGUAGGGGGCAAGCGUUGUCCGGAAUUAUUGGGCGUAAAGAGCGUGUAGGCGGUCCGGUAAGUCGGCUGUGAAAGUCCAGGGCUCAACCCUGGGAUGCCGGUCGAUACUGCCGGACUAGAGUUCGGAAGAGGCGAGUGGAAUUCCCGAUGUAGCGGUGAAAUGCGCAGAUAUCGGGAGGAACACCUAUGGCGAAGGCAGCUCGCUGGGACGUUACUGACACUGAGGCGCGAAAGCGUGGGGAGCGAACAGG
This 253-nucleotide ribosomal RNA is filed under the name uncultured bacterium. Its description in RNAcentral is "partial 16S ribosomal RNA". It matches the Rfam family "Bacterial small subunit ribosomal RNA", at positions 524 to 776 of the family's 1533-position model. The record is from RNAcentral.